UAACUCUUUUUUUCCCUUAAACCAUAAAAACUUUCGCCUUUUUUAAAGAUUUCCCUGGAGGGGAACAACCCCAAUGAGUCUUACUCAAUUUUUUUAUAGCCCCCUUUGGUGGGUUC
Molecule: small nuclear RNA, 116 nt
Organism: Penaeus monodon (black tiger shrimp)
Lineage: Eukaryota; Metazoa; Arthropoda; Malacostraca; Decapoda; Penaeidae
Product: U5 spliceosomal RNA
Exons: 1
Source: RefSeq, a predicted model, not a curated record